This 253-nucleotide unclassified non-coding RNA is filed under the name uncultured Alphaproteobacteria bacterium. RNAcentral's name for it is "contains 16S-23S intergenic spacer region". It matches the Rfam family "Bacterial small subunit ribosomal RNA", at positions 524 to 776 of the family's 1533-position model. The record is from RNAcentral. Lineage: Bacteria; Pseudomonadati; Pseudomonadota; Alphaproteobacteria.
UACGAAGGGGGCAAGCGUUGUUCGGAAUUACUGGGCGUAAAGGGCGCGUAGGCGGCCAUCUUUGUUAGGUGUGAAAGCCCUGGGCUCAACCUGGGAAUUGCACUUGGGACGGGGUGGCUUGAGUUCGGGAGAGGAGAGUGGAAUUCCUAGUGUAGAGGUGAAAUUCGUAGAUAUUGGAAAGAACACCGGUGGCGAAGGCGGCUCUCUGGACCGAUACUGACGCUGAGGCGCGAAAGCGUGGGUAGCAAACAGG